GCGAGUCGACGAUGAAGCCGGAGCUUGCUCUGGAUGGAUUAGUGGCGAACGGGUGAGUAACACGUGAGUAACCUGCCCUUGACUCUGGAAUAAGCGUUGGAAACGACGUCUAAUACUGGAUACGAGCUUCAGCCGCAUGGCUAGGAGCUGGAAAGAAUUUCGGUCAAGGAUGGACUCGCGGCCUAUCAGGUAGUUGGUGAGGUAAUAGCUCACCAAGCCUACGACGGGUAGCCGGCCUGAGAGGGUGACCGGCCACACUGGAACUGAGACACGGUCCAGACUCCUACGGGAGGCAGCAGUGGGGAAUAUUGCACAAUGGGCGCAAGCCUGAUGCAGCAACGCCGCGUGAGGGACGACGGCCUUCGGGUUGUAAACCUCUUUUAGUAGGGAAGAAGCGAAAGUGACGGUACCUGCAGAAAAAGCACCGGCUAACUACGUGCCAGCAGCCGCGGUAAUACGUAGGGUGCAAGCGUUAUCCGGAAUUAUUGGGCGUAAAGAGCUCGUAGGCGGUUUGUCGCGUCUGCUGUGAAAACUGGGGGCUCAACCCCCAGCCUGCAGUGGGUACGGGCAGACUAGAGUGCGGUAGGGGAGAUUGGAAUUCCUGGUGUAGCGGUGGAAUGCGCAGAUAUCAGGAGGAACACCAAUGGCGAAGGCAGAUCUCUGGGCCGUUACUGACGCUGAGGAGCGAAAGCAUGGGGAGCGAACAGGAUUAGAUACCCUGGUAGUCCAUGCCGUAAACGUUGGGAACUAGAUGUAGGGGCCAUUCCACGGUUUCUGUGUCGCAGCUAACGCAUUAAGUUCCCCGCCUGGGGAGUACGGCCGCAAGGCUAAAACUCAAAGGAAUUGACGGGGGCCCGCACAAGCGGCGGAGCAUGCGGAUUAAUUCGAUGCAACGCGAAGAACCUUACCAAGACUUGACAUAUACGAGAACGGGCUAGAAAUAGUCAACUCUUUGGACACUCGUAAACAGGUGGUGCAUGGUUGUCGUCAGCUCGUGUCGUGAGAUGUUGGGUUAAGUCCCGCAACGAGCGCAACCCUCGUUCUUUGUUGCCAGCACGUAAUGGUGGGAACUCAAAAGGAGACUGCCGGGGUCAACUCCGAGGAA
Molecule: ribosomal RNA, 1105 nt
Filed under: Leifsonia sp.
Lineage: Bacteria; Bacillati; Actinomycetota; Actinomycetes; Micrococcales; Microbacteriaceae
Description: bacterial SSU rRNA
Rfam family: Bacterial small subunit ribosomal RNA
Source: RNAcentral